Non-coding RNA from Aplosporella prunicola CBS 121167, 107 nucleotides. NCBI's taxonomy places the organism in Eukaryota, Fungi, Ascomycota, Dothideomycetes, Botryosphaeriales, Aplosporellaceae. The record is from the annotation of a RefSeq genome assembly.
GGUGAGGUGGCCGAGUGGUUAUGGCGCUAGUUUCAGGACAUCUGAAAAGAGUUCCGAAAAGGAGUUACUAGUGAGGAAACUCUCGUGGGGUAUUUUCACCUUUAUCC